Arabidopsis lyrata subsp. lyrata is the source of this 3813-nucleotide RNA transcript. It is a transcript of the gene named importin-11, with no coding region annotated. NCBI's taxonomy places the organism in Eukaryota, Viridiplantae, Streptophyta, Magnoliopsida, Brassicales, Brassicaceae. The record is from RefSeq and is a predicted model, not a curated record. The transcript is spliced from 24 exons.
AAAACAUUUUCACUAUUGACAUUGUUACGUUUCGGUUUAAAGAGCUUUAGAGAAGUUGACAGACGGAGAAAGAAGACGACGAGGAAGAAGAAGACGAUCUUCUUUAUUCUUCUCUUUUCUGUCUCUACCAGCUUCGUUUUCUUUCCUCCGCCGUGAGAUUAUAUCGUCGUCGUAACAAACCCCUAGGGUUCAUCCUCGACGCUUCCUUGGUUAAUUAGGUAAACAAUUUCGUCGGAUCUGAUGGCGUUGUCGGCUUCCGAUUUGCCGGCGAUGUACACGCUAUUAGCAAAUUCAAUGAGCGGUGACGAGACUGUUCGGCGGCCGGCGGAGGCGGCUCUGUCUCAGUCGGAGAGUAGACCUGGUUUCUGUUCUUGCCUUAUGGAAGUAAUUGCAUCCAAGGAUUUGGUGUCCCAUGUGGACGUUAGAUUGAUGGCCUCAGUGUAUUUCAAGAACAGUAUCAACCGUCAUUGGAAGAACAGACGAAAUUCAUGGAGUAUGAGCAACGAGGAAAAGAGUCAUCUGAGGCAGAAAUUGUUGUCUCACUUGAGAGAAGAGAACUACCAGAUUUCGGAAAUGUUGGCUGUUCUCAUAUCAAAGAUAGCUCGUUUUGAUUAUCCUAGAGAAUGGCCUGACCUCUUUUCGGUACUAGCGCAACAGCUUCACUCGGCUGAUGUUCUUGCUUCUCACAGAAUCUUUCUGAUUCUUUUUCGAACCUUAAAGGAAUUAUCCACCAAACGCCUCGCUGCGGAUCAGAGAACCUUCGCUGAGAUCUCGUCGCAAUUCUUCGACUUUAGUUGGCACCUUUGGCAAACUGAUGUCCAAACAAUUCUACAUGGCUUUUCAACAAUGGCUCAGAGCUAUGGUUCAAAUAGUGCCGAGCAGCAUCACGAUGAGCUUUUUCUGACUUGUGAGAGGUGGUUUUUAUGUUUGAAAAUAGUGCGCCAACUGAUAAUUUCAGGAUUUCAACGCGAUGCCAAAUAUAUACAGGAGAUACAACCAGUGAAAGAAGUCUCUCCUGCGCUCUUGAACGCGGUUCAAUCCUUUCUUCCAUAUUAUUCAUCUUUUCAGAAUCGAGAUCCUAAAUUCUGGGAGUUUGUAAAGAAGGCAUGUGUCAAGCUGAUGAAAGUGUUAGGCGCUAUUCAAAGCAGACAUCCUUUUUCGUUUGGAGAUAAAUGUGUUCUUCCAGUUGUAGUGGAUUUCUGCUUAAACAAGAUAACAGACCCUGAACAGUCAUUGUUGCCAUUUGAAGAAUUUUUUAUUCAGUGUAUGGUGAUGGUGAAAUCUGUGCUUGAAUGUAAAGAAUAUAAGCCAAGUCUAACUGGUCGUGUGAUGGAUGACAAUGGAGUUACAUUUGAGCAGAGGAAGAAGAAUGCUUCCAACGCAGUUGGUGGUAUUGUGUCUUCACUUUUACCCAAUGAAAGGAUAGUUCUUUUGUGCAACAUACUAGUGAGAAGGUAUUUUGUUCUAACAGCAAGUGACCUAGAGGAGUGGUACCAGAACCCUGAGUCCUUUCAUCAUGAGCAGGACAUGAUUCAGUGGACAGAGAAAUUGAGGCCUUGUGCUGAAGCUCUAUAUAUGGUUUUGUUUGAGAACUACAGCCAACUGCUAGGACCUAUUGUUGUGUCCAUCCUUCAAGAAGCAAUGAAUAAUUGUCCCCCUUCUGUUACUGAAAUAACUCCUGCACUACUUCUUAAAGAUGCGGCAUAUGCUGCUACUGCAUAUGUCUACUAUGAGCUCUCGAAUUAUCUUAAUUUUAGAGAUUGGUUUAAUGGUGCUCUAUCCCUUGAGCUCUCAAAUGACCAUCCAAAUAGGCGUAUCAUCCACCGAAAAGUCGCUAUGAUAUUGGGACAUUGGGUUUCAGAGAUUAAGGAUGACACAAAAAGGGCAGUUUAUUGUUCUUUGAUCAAAUUGUUGCAAGACAAUGACCUCGCUGUCAAGCUGGCAGCUAGUAGGUCAUUGUGCUUACAUGUCGAGGAUGCGAAUUUUUCGGAGCAAAGUUUUCUUGAUCUUCUUCCAAUCUGUUGGGAAUCAUGUUUCAAAAUGGUCGAGGAAGUUCGAGAGUUUGAUUCGAAGGUUCAAGUUUUGAACUUGAUUUCUACUCUUAUUGGCCAUGUUAGCGAAGUCCUUCCGUAUGCACAAAAGUUGGUGCAAUUCUUCCAAGCGGUUUGGGAGGAAUCUUCUGGUGAAAGCCUUCUACAGAUUCAGCUUCUUGUUGCACUUCGGAAUUUUGUGAUUGCACUUGGUUAUCAGUCUCCCAUUUGCUAUAGCAUACUGCUCCCAAUACUCCAAAAGGGCAUUGACAUUAAUAGCCCUGAUUCACUCAACCUUCUGGAGGAUAGCAUGGCAUUAUGGGAAACCACACUUUCCUAUGCUCCUAUGAUGGUGCCCCAGCUAUUAGCAUGCUUUCCCUAUAUGGUGGAGAUCAUUGAAAGAAGUUUUGAUCAUUUACAGGUUGCUGUCAGUAUCAUGGAAUCGUAUAUCAUUUUGGAUGGAGGAGAAUUUCUAAAUAUGCAUGCUUCAAAUGUUGCCAAAAUUCUUGAUCUUAUCGUUGGAAAUGUAAAUGAUAAGGGGUUACUCUCGAUUCUUCCAGUGAUUGACAUCUUGGUUCAGUGUUUUCCUGUGGAAGUGCCCCCUCUCAUCAGCAGCUGUUUGCAGAAACUGGUGAUUAUUAGCUUAAGUGGAGGAGAUGACCGUGAUCCAUCCAAGACUGCAGUUAAAGCGUCUUCAGCAGCUAUCCUUGCAAGGAUUCUGGUGAUGAACACCACUUACCUGGCCCAGUUAACAUCUGAUUCAUCUCUUUCAGUGUUACUCCAGCAGGCAGGGGUCCCAGUCGAAGACAACAUACUCCUUUGCCUCAUUGACAUUUGGCUCGACAAGGUGGACCAUGCGUCUCCCAUGCAAAAAAAGACAUUUGCUUUGGCUCUUUCCAUAAUACUUACACUGAGAAUGCCUCAAGUUCUUGACAAGCUUGAUCAAAUACUAAGUACAUGCACCAGUGUGAUCCUUGGUGAAAACAAAGAGUUAACAGAAGAAGAAACAAGCGGUGACAUGAGUUCAAGCAGGUCUCAAGGAGAAGAAACCCCGCCAAGCAAAGAGUUACGUAAAAGUCAGAUAAAAGUUUCCGACCCAAUCUACCAGAUGUCACUAGAGAAAUCAACGCGUGAGAACCUUCAGACAUGUUCUACACUUCAUGGAGAUGCCUUUAACUCUGCCAUUAGUAGGAUGCACCCAUCGGCGCUUGCACAAGUGAAGCAAGCCUUAAAGCUGCCGUGAUUAAAUGUUUUUGCCUCUUCAUUGUUUGUUUUCUUAUCACUUAAAGAGCAGCAAUAUUCAAGUGAGUGAGCUUUCUUCCCUUUAUGGUUACGGAUUUGACGGGUGUGUUACAUAGGCGUGCAUGUUGCAUUGACCUCUGUGGCCUUGGCGGUUUGAGGAACUAUGUACAUAUCUUUGGUGAGGUGCUUCCCUUUUAGCUGCCCAUGCGUUUUUUGCCCUACAGAACAAUAGGAGGCAUUAUUCAAAGACUUCUUUUUGUUUUCCUUUGGUUGAGUUUAAUAUGUCAAUUGACUCAACAAUUCAUUCUUCAAUACAACGUUUUUGCCCCAAUGUUACAACAACAGAAAAGAAAAGAAAAUAUGAGGAAUCAAAAUAGGGAGAUAUUUUGACAAUGUAUCUCAGGUCUUUCCUGUCCCAAGAACUCAACAACAUAUGAUGGGAACAGGUCGGAGUUAUGUCAAUUCUUUACUUUUUACUUUUUACUUUUUGUUCUUGUUGAUUGUACUCAUUCUCUCUAAUAAAUAAAUCUUGGCUUCAUAA